This 1009-nucleotide ribosomal RNA is filed under the name uncultured bacterium. RNAcentral's name for it is "bacterial SSU rRNA". It matches the Rfam family "Bacterial small subunit ribosomal RNA", at positions 505 to 1501 of the family's 1533-position model. The record is from RNAcentral.
GUGCCAGCCGCCGCGGUAAUACAGAGACGGCAAGCGUUGUUCGGAUUUAUUGGGCGUAAAGGGUCCGCAGGUGGCGAGGUAAGUCUGACGUGAAAUCCCGCGGCUUAACCGCGGAACUGCGUCGGAAACUACCUUGCUAGAGGACGGCAGAGGAGACUGGAAUUCACGGUGUAGCGGUGAAAUGCGUAGAUAUCGUGAGGAACACCGGUGGCGAAGGCGAGUCUCUGGGCCGUUCCUGACACUCAGGGACAAAAGCGUGGGGAGCAAACGGGAUUAGAUACCCCGGUAGUCCACGCCCUAAACUGUGCUCACUUGGUGUGGGAGGAUUCGACCCCUUCCGUGCCGUAGCUAACGCGUUAAGUGAGCCGCCUGGGGAGUACGGCCGCAAGGUUAAAACUCAAAGAAAUUGACGGGGGCCCGCACAAGCGGUGGAGUAUGUGGCUCAAUUCGAUGCAACGCGAAGAACCUUACCUGGGUUUGACAUGCACCGUGAAAGCCGGUGAAAGCCGGUGACGGCCCGAAAGGGUGCUGGGGGUGCACAGGUGCUGCAUGGCUGUCGUCAGCUCGUGCCGUGAGGUGUUCGGUUAAGUCCGGUAACGAGCGCAACCCCUAUGUCCUGUUGCGAAGGCCGCAAGGCACUGCACUCUGGACAGACUGCCCUGUUUCAACGGGGAGGAAGGUGGGGAUGACGUCAAGUCCGUAUGGCCCUUACACCCAGGGCUGCACACGUACUACAAUGCACGGUACAGAGGGACGCAAAACCGCGAGGUGGAGCAAAUCCCCAAAACCGUGCUCAGUUCAGAUCGCAGGCUGCAACUCGCCUGCGUGAAGCUGGAAUCGCUAGUAAUGGCGCAUCAGCUACGGCGCCGUGAAUACGUUCCCGGGCCUUGUACACACCGCCCGUCACAUCAUGAAAGCCCCUUGUUCCCGAAGUCAUACCAGCUAACCGCAAGGAAGCGGGUGCCUAAGGAAUGAGUGGUGAUUGGGAUGAAGUCGUAACAAGGUAGCC